RNAcentral lists this ribosomal RNA (421 nucleotides) under uncultured bacterium. Its description in RNAcentral is "partial 16S ribosomal RNA". It matches the Rfam family "Bacterial small subunit ribosomal RNA", at positions 360 to 773 of the family's 1533-position model. The record is from RNAcentral.
AAUCUUGGACAAUGGGGGGAACCCUGAUCCAGCCAUUCAGCGUGUGCGAUGAAGGCCUUCGGGUUGUAAAGCACUUUUGCCAGGGAAGAAAUUGCGCGGGCUAGUACCCUGCGUGGAUGACAGUACCUGCAGGACAAGCACCGGCUAACUACGCGCCAGCAGACGCGGUAAUACGUAGGGUUCAAGGGUUAAUCGGAAUUACUGGGGGUAAAGGGUGCGCAGGCGGCUCGGAAAGAAAGAUGUGAAAUCCCAGGGCUCAACCUUGGAACUGCAUUUUUAACUACCGGGCUAGAGUGUGUCAGAGGGAGGUGGAAUUCCGCGUGUAGCAGUGAAAUGCGUAGAUAUGCGGAGGAACACCGAUGGCGAAGGCAGCCUCCUGGGAUAACACUGACGCUCAGGCACGAAAGCGUGGGGAGCAAAC